This 407-nucleotide ribosomal RNA is filed under the name uncultured bacterium. RNAcentral's name for it is "partial 16S ribosomal RNA". It matches the Rfam family "Bacterial small subunit ribosomal RNA", at positions 28 to 526 of the family's 1533-position model. The record is from RNAcentral.
GACGAACGCUGGCGGCGUGCCUAAUACAUGCAAGUCGAACGCAGUUGCGAACGGGUGAGUAACGCGUAGGUAACUGCCUCAUAGCGGGGGAUAACUAUUGGCAACGAUAGCUAAUACCUCAUACUUUGCGUUGGACCUGCUUUGUAUUAGCUAGGUGGUGAGGUAAAGGCUCACCAAGGCGCCGAUACAUAGCCGAACCGAGAGGGUGAGCGGCCACACUGGGACGGAGACAGGGCACAGACGCCUACGGGAGGCAGCAGUAGGGAAUCGUCGGCAAUGGACGGAAGUCUGACCGAGCAACGCCGAGUGAGUGAAGAAGGUUUUCGGGUCGUAAAGCUCUGUUGUUAGAGAAGCGGUAACUAAACAGAAAGGAACGGCUAACUACGUGCCAGCAGCCGCGGUAAUUC